This 690-nucleotide long non-coding RNA is filed under the name Rattus norvegicus (Norway rat). RNAcentral describes it as "long non-coding RNA NONRATT027542". Lineage: Eukaryota; Metazoa; Chordata; Mammalia; Rodentia; Muridae. The record is from RNAcentral.
UAUUGCAACCUAGACCAUCUCUCUGGGAGAAACCUUUGUGCACAUAUAUUUUCUGUGGUGCUGUGUGUGUGUCUCGUUUGCGUUACUCACUGCCAAGUCCUUGCAUGGUUCGAGGACUUAGACUUGUCGAGGAAUGGUAAUAAGGACUGAAGACAGACAGAUGGGCGUACAGAAAGAAAGCUGGGAUGAGGUGAUCCGGACUCCCUGCUGGAGAAACCUCAGCACCCUGGAAGCUCAGUGUGUUUAUUAUAGAGUUGAAGAGAGGCGGGGUGACUGCAUACAGCUGAACAAGGACUGAACUAUUGUACACAGAUCAACAAGGUGGCAUGGUUGGUCGUGGCUGUAUCAAGCAGACAGGUUUAGCUAAUCUUGGUAUGAGUACUCUCUGUGGGGGUGAUCAAUGAAUGAUUCAAGAAGAUGCCAGACUUUCUCAGAUCGAUCAUGAAGUUCAUACAAAGUUGAGCUGCGUCGGAGAAUUGUACACUGUUAUGUAAUUUAAUUGUAUGAACAUCUCUCCUCUGUGGCUUUCUGAUCUGAACGGGCUCAAGGCCCUUUUCUCUAUAGUCUCAUCCUCAUAGUCUGUGCAGAUUCUUUUAGGAACUGUUUUUAUAAAACAGUGUCUUACUAUGUAGUCCAGCCUGACCUCCUGCCUCAGACUCUCCAGAACUGGAAUUACAGGCAUGAAUCACA